GCCGGGGUGGUGAAAUUGGUAGACGCGCCAGACUCAAAAUCUGGUGGGGGCAACCCCGUGUCGGUUCGAUUCCGACUCUCGGCACCA
RNAcentral lists this transfer RNA (87 nucleotides) under Helicobacter winghamensis. RNAcentral describes it as "tRNA-Leu". It matches the Rfam family "tRNA". From Rfam's summary of the family: Transfer RNA (tRNA) molecules are approximately 80 nucleotides in length. The record is from RNAcentral. RNAcentral also lists the same sequence under 1 other name. Lineage: Bacteria; Pseudomonadati; Campylobacterota; Epsilonproteobacteria; Campylobacterales; Helicobacteraceae.